RNAcentral lists this ribosomal RNA (253 nucleotides) under uncultured bacterium. RNAcentral's name for it is "partial 16S ribosomal RNA". It matches the Rfam family "Bacterial small subunit ribosomal RNA", at positions 524 to 776 of the family's 1533-position model. The record is from RNAcentral.
UACGUAGGGGGCAAGCGUUAUCCGGAAUUACUGGGUGUAAAGGGUGCGUAGGUGGCGAUGUAAGUCAGAUGUGAAAACUCAGGGCUCAACCUUGAGACUGCAUCUGAAACUGUGUUGCUAGAGUGCAGGAGAGGAAAGCGGAAUUCCGAGUGUAGCGGUGAAAUGCGUAGAUAUUCGGAGGAACACCAGUAGCGAAGGCGGCUUUCUGGACUGUAACUGACACUGAGGCACGAAAGCGUGGGGAGCGAACAGG